Molecule: long non-coding RNA, 1357 nt
Organism: Lynx canadensis (Canada lynx)
Lineage: Eukaryota; Metazoa; Chordata; Mammalia; Carnivora; Felidae
Exons: 2
Source: RefSeq, a predicted model, not a curated record
AGCUCCCUUCUCUCCCCAUCAGGGACCGGAAGCCAGCCAAGGAUCCCAGAGGUCUUGGCCCAAUUGCGGGCUUGAUGACCGGUCACCUUCCAGCCAUGUGAACUUGGCAGGUCUCUGAGCCUGUUUCCUUGGCUGUAACCCUCGUGUGGUUCUCAUGAUGAAAUCCUGGCAUCAGCGGCAUCAGCACCCACGGGGAACUGGUGACCGAUGCUUGCUCAAGUGUGACGAUCACUGGGAUAGAGAGAGGCUGAAACCGAUGGAGGUGCGCAAAGCCCCAGCACAACCCCGCAGUUGCUUGCAGCCUUCCCCGCCUCCGUGACUGGCAACUGCAUUCUUCCUGCAGACAAAAGGCCCAGAGUCCUCCCGGAUCAGGGUUCUCCAAACCCAAGCCUGCGGCGGAACCUUUGGUUCUCAUUAGGAGGUUAAAAACUUCUUGUUAUAAAAUAAAUACAUCACGGGGACGUAAAGCGCAGCGUAGGGAAUCUAGUCCAUAAUAGUGUCAUAAUGCCGUGCGGUGACAGAUGGUAAGUGGUCUUACGGUGAGCGGUUCGUAACGUGUAUAAAUGUCGGAUCACGACGCAUACACCUGAAACUCACAUAAUAUUGUGUGUCGACGAGACUUCAAUUAAAAAACACGUGUCUAAGGGUGCCCUUGCUCACCGCCUCCUCCACUCCCGCGGCACCGGCCUCCUCCGUCCUGCACUUGCUGUAAUAACUUUCCAGCCACCUCUGCCUUCGCCCCUGCAGCACCUCCUCACCCCUGCAGCCAGAGGAGCCUCUUAAAAAUGAAAUCAGAUUAUUCUACUCCUCUGCUCAGAACCUCCGACGAUUCCCAUCUCACUCUGCUGCCGGCCAGGCCCGACCCCCCUCCGGCCCCCCCAUCCCACUCCGCCCCCCCCCCCCCCCCCCCCCGCCAACACCCUCCCCUCCCCGGCUCUGCAGCAGCCCCUCCGACCUGCCAGACUCACUCCCACCCUGGGGCCUUGACUCCAGCCCUUUCCUCGGCCAUACACCCUUCUCUGGGUGUCCCCGCACGGCUCUCUUGCCCUCACCUCUAGAUCCUGUUCAAAUGUCACCACCUGAGAGAAGGCCUCUCUGACGCCAUUGUGUGCUGUCCCCUCCUCCCGCCCCUUUUUUUUUUUCCUCCAUAGCACUUACCACCACCUGACACACAUCUUUAUUGUUUCUCUGUUUAUUGUCUGCCUCUUCCCACUCGGACGCGAGGUCCGUGGGGCCAGGACCGCCUGUUUUGUUCACUGCUGUGUCUACAACGCCUGUAAUAUUGCCUGCACAGAACAGGCUCUUGGUAAAUGUUUGUCGAGUGGAUGAUUGAAUAAAUAAAUGAAUUGUUUUUUUU